This 594-nucleotide long non-coding RNA is filed under the name Hordeum vulgare. RNAcentral's name for it is "long non-coding RNA (HVUL_LNC020142)". Lineage: Eukaryota; Viridiplantae; Streptophyta; Magnoliopsida; Poales; Poaceae. The record is from RNAcentral.
AUGCAUCAUUUCAUAGUUUCACUACCGACGCACGCACGACACACAUCUCCACCUCGCGUGACUUGCUGAAUGGGACAAUUUGCAUCACUAAUCAACACCGGCUCCGGUGGCACGGAUGCCCGAACCUACACCCAACGGGCAAGGAAAUUUGCUAGUGAGUCAUCUACAAUUCAUCAUAAGUAAUUUAUAUACCGGCAAACUAAUCUGUACCAUAGUAUAAGCUAGAUAAAUUCUUGAGUUAGGUUAGAUCGAAUAAUUAGAGGCAAUAAUUUCUUUUUUUAUCCUCACAAACAUUUAUUGUAAAUUAGGCAUGACACGUAUAUUAGCUUGUUCUGAUUUAAUUUGUUCAUUGUCGCCGAUCUGUAUUUUUGUUUUUCUUGUAGUCAUCAAAACGAAGACAAUGAUUUAUUUUUUGAGAAGGCUAGAUCAAGCUCACAAGGUGAACCUAUUGGUGUCGAUGAUUCCAACAUGACUGAGUAUGGACAAGGUAGUGGACGGAAUAACACUCAUCCUAUUCCUUUAGAUGAUCACACUCUAUAUCAGAAUAUUUCAGCAUUUGUAGAAGUUCCACAGCAAGAGAGACUUGUAACAACA